ACGUAGGGGGCGAGCGUUGUCCGGAAUUACUGGGCGUAAAGGGUGCGUAGGCGGCCUUUUAAGUUGGAUGUGAAAUACCCGGGCUUAACUUGGGGGGUGCAUCUAAUACUGGAGGGCUAGAGUGCAGGAGAGGGAAGCGGAAUUCCUAGUGUGGGGGUGAAAGGCGUAGAUAUUAGGAGGAACACCGAUGGCGAAGGCGGCUUUCUGGACUGUAACUGACGCUGAGGCACGAAAGCGUGGGGAGCAAAAAG
RNAcentral lists this ribosomal RNA (251 nucleotides) under uncultured prokaryote. Its description in RNAcentral is "partial 16S rRNA". It matches the Rfam family "Bacterial small subunit ribosomal RNA", at positions 525 to 775 of the family's 1533-position model. The record is from RNAcentral.